UACGUAGGGCGCAAGCGUUAUCCGGAAUUAUUGGGCGUAAAGAGCUCGUAGGCGGUUCGGCAAGUCAGCUGUGAAAUCUCCACGCUCAACGUGGAGGGGUCAGCUGAUACUGCUGUGACUUGAGUCCGGUAGGGGAGUGUGGAAUUCCCGGUGUAGCGGUGAAAUGCGCAGAUAUCGGGAGGAACACCAGUAGCGAAGGCGGCACUCUGGGCCGGUACUGACGCUGAGGAGCGAAAGCGUGGGGAGCAAACAGG
This 254-nucleotide ribosomal RNA is filed under the name uncultured bacterium. RNAcentral's name for it is "partial 16S ribosomal RNA". It matches the Rfam family "Bacterial small subunit ribosomal RNA", at positions 524 to 776 of the family's 1533-position model. The record is from RNAcentral.